GAGACAAUGAAUCUGUUUCUGAAUAUGUCCAGCGUCCAUACCAUAUAGAAUUGGAAUGAGUAGAGUGGGCGGUCAUUGCGAGUGUAACCAUAGAAGCAAAGCAGGAAGUAAAAACAGGAAGUGUACCAAUCAAUCUUUGUUGUGAUUUGUUGAAUGAACUCAACUGACAUUACAAAAAAAAUACAGUCCACAGCAUGAGCCACAUCAAUUAGCAUAAUUUGAAUAAACAUUCUACAUUACCAUGGAAAUGAUUGCAUCACAAUACCAGGGAGCCUUCUGAUUGGCUGAGAAAGAAGUCUGUGUCCAGGCAAAAGCCAAUGAUCAAGGAUUCUGAAACCAUUGAGCGAAUUGUAACUGGAUAAAGCUGGACUGCAAUUGGCCAAAAGUAGGGGGAGGUUAAACUUUGGGAAGGGAUGGUUGAGGGGGUGAACAAUGGUUUUGGUAAAUAGUGGUUGUUUAACAUUGGAUUUCCUGGUCACGGUCGUAGUUGUGGUUCUGGUUGUGGUCUUAGCUUUGACAGUUGCUUGUGGUCGUGGUGGUUUUGUGGUCAGAUGUUUGGGGGGGGUCAUAGGUGACCUGUCCAUGUUGCAGUUGUAGCUUUGACCAUUAGAGGUGGUGGUGGGGUUAGGGGUAUGACUCCUCCCCAGGGUGGUGGUGGUGGUGUGGUUAGGGGGUAUGACUCCUCCCAGGGUGGUGGUGGUGGGGUUAGGGGGUGUGACUCCUCCCCAGGGUGGUGGUGGUGGUGGGGGGUGUGACUCCUCCCCAGGGUGGUGGUGGUGGUGUGGUUAGGGG
Oncorhynchus tshawytscha (Chinook salmon) is the source of this 792-nucleotide long non-coding RNA. NCBI's taxonomy places the organism in Eukaryota, Metazoa, Chordata, Actinopteri, Salmoniformes, Salmonidae. The record is from Ensembl.